RNAcentral lists this ribosomal RNA (722 nucleotides) under uncultured Alphaproteobacteria bacterium. Its description in RNAcentral is "bacterial SSU rRNA". It matches the Rfam family "Bacterial small subunit ribosomal RNA", at positions 94 to 847 of the family's 1533-position model. Lineage: Bacteria; Pseudomonadati; Pseudomonadota; Alphaproteobacteria. The record is from RNAcentral.
AGUGGCGCACGGGUGAGUAACGCGUGGGGACCUACCUCUUAGUGGGGGAUAACGGUUGGAAACGACCGCUAAUACCGCAUACGCCCUUCGGGGGAAAGAUUUAUCGCUAAGAGAUGGACCCGCGUUGGAUUAGAUAGUUGGUGAGGUAACGGCUCACCAAGUCGGCGAUCCAUAGCUGGUUUGAGAGGAUGAUCAGCCACACUGGGACUGAGACACGGCCCAGACUCCUACGGGAGGCAGCAGUGGGGAAUAUUGGACAAUGGGGGCAACCCUGAUCCAGCCAUGCCGCGUGAGUGAAGAAGGCCUUCGGGUUGUAAAGCUCUUUCAGAUGCGAAGAUGAUGACGGUAACAUCAGAAGAAGCCCCGGCUAAUUUCGUGCCAGCAGCCGCGGUAAUACGAAAGGGGCUAGCGUUGUUCGGAUUUACUGGGCGUAAAGGGCACGCAGGCGGUCUUGCCAGUCAGGGGUGAAAGCCCGGGGCUCAACCCCGGAACUGCCUCUGAUACUGCAAGACUAGAGACUAGGAGAGGGGGGUGGAAUUCCCAGUGUAGAGGUGAAAUUCGUAAAUAUUGGGAGGAACACCAGAGGCGAAGGCGGCCCCCUGGACUAAAUCUGAACCUCAGGGGCGAAAGCGUGGGGGAGCAAACAGGAUUUAAAUACCCUGGUAGUCCCCCCCCGUAAACAAAUGAGUGGCUAGUUUGCCGGGGAUUUCCAUUUCCGGGAC